UAGCUAACUAUUGGUUAUUUUUGAUAGAAUGUUAGCAGUUAGCUAACGUUAGCAUCUUACCUGUUGGACGGAUUUCUCUCCGUUUUCUUUUAGCCUGGUUUGUCCCUGCGUGGCCUGAAGUUCGUCACUGCUGUCUCUUCUGAGUAAAACCUAAAAUAUUUAGAGAAAAUAAGCAGCCGAUUGUGCUGAAAAUGAGCCGUAAAUGAGUAGACCAAGCUGGGCAAGACGACGUAAAUUGAGGCAGAUGUGGACCCUUUGAUUGAGAGCUGUGCUGGUCCCACUGACAAUUUGUUCUCUGAUCUGCCUUUAUACCCAGAGAUCGUGAUCUUCUUGAUUGACCUGGAGACAGCAGAGGCAGAGGCUACGUUCUGGUUCAGGUGGUCCUCAGCCGCCAUGUCCUCUGGAUUGUGCUUGACCGGGGCUACCUGCUUGACGAUGGGUGAGACAAGACAGGGGCUGUGUGUGCAGACCUGGGAUUGACUGAGGUAGAGAGAGUUCAGGUUGUGCUGCAGAGUGCAGUUAUCCAGACUCUGGCUCUGCAGAUAACUCUGUGUAAACUCCUGGCAUUUUGGCACAGCCGGGGCCGACAACCUCGUCCCAAUGGUGAAGGGCUGGACCUUCCUCACAAUGCUCUCAGACAUUGCCAGUGUCCAGAUAAAAAAACAAAAUAUGUUGAAGUCCAAAUGGGCAUUAAAAAAGUCUGUCACAUCUCUUUGUACGCUCUUCUCACUCACCAGUUCUGUUUGCCCAGUCUCUGUUAAGCAAGCAAGUGGAGGGUUGAACAGAAAGUGGAGGGAGCCCUCAGUUCUCUACCUUCUUGUGCAUAUUGAGAAUGCACAGCACACAGCCCAGCACGGCUUCCUUGGACUCCUGGGAUCGAAUGCGGUCCCAGACGUGGCGCAGCGCUGUGCCAAGGUGGGCAGCGCCUGUAGAGAGGCUUCUCCUGAUGAACUGUGCCACUGAGCCUGCCAGUCUGCUACCGAGGAGCCUGAUAACCAGGGACCGCAGCAAGAUGAAAACUGCUGGCAUGCUGCCUUACUGUGCUGUGCGAAAAAAAAAAAAAAGGUCAAAAAAAGGAGGGGAAAAGAGGAGGGUUGGUUAAGAGAGGGAAUGAAGUCACCACCUCUCCACACAUACAAACUCUCUCUCUCUUUCUCUCUGUCAGGAGCGACAGAGUGGAGAGGGGGCUGUAAAGCCUGGCUGUCAAAACUUCCCCUCUGAACCCGAACAGAAAAUCUGUCCAGAUAAGAGGCGAGUAAUGGAGUCAGAGGCAGAGACCUUUGUCAGACCUCUUCAAUCACAGCUUAUCCUCUAUGAGGUAAUAUCCUCAGUUGAAACAAACUCGCACACACCCACACUGCCUCUGCCUUACCUCCACCUUCAAGUGCAAAGGAACAGAUUCCGCCUUGAGGUGUUCUGCUCUGUUCCAGCACAAAGAAAUUACAAGACAAGACAAAAAGGUCCGUCACAGACAGCAGGCUUUUGAAAAAUCCAGGGUAAAAUCUAAGGAGAGAAGAAGCUUCAGAGGCUCAUGUGAGCGCUGUCUGUCCAGGAGUGAGAGUGCUUUCCUCAGCUCCAAGCUUUUCCCCAUCAGCAAGGAACAGCUGUCACAAAAGUUCCAUCUGAAUGGAACAGCCCUGUUGCUCUGCUCCUUAAACCUCGGAGCUGCUGGCCCGACAAGUGUGGGGGGCAAAUUACAGUCAAGAAGAUAAUGACCCCUACCACUCCUUGAUGGUGGCUACGGUUCAACAGAGCACAUGUUGGGCUGAAUGAUUGGAAUGGCAGGGGGUGGCGUACGUAUGUCAGGGCAGCAGGGAUUACUGAGGAGAGUAGACAGCAGAGAAAAUAUUUGGAGAGAGCAGAGCGGAGAAUUUGCUUCCACUGGUGAAAGCUUUCCCCAAAAAAGGAAUUCUCACUCUUCACUUAGCUGCCCUCUGACUUGACCCCAUCACCUGGUUGAAUGGUUCGCAGUAGCUGCUCAGCCACUUAAAACUAAA
Etheostoma cragini (Arkansas darter) is the source of this 1997-nucleotide long non-coding RNA. RefSeq lists it as uncharacterized. Lineage: Eukaryota; Metazoa; Chordata; Actinopteri; Perciformes; Percidae. The record is from RefSeq and is a predicted model, not a curated record. The transcript is spliced from 2 exons.